RNA transcript from Vigna angularis (adzuki bean), 4555 nucleotides. It is a transcript of the gene named pentatricopeptide repeat-containing protein At5g27110, with no coding region annotated. Lineage: Eukaryota; Viridiplantae; Streptophyta; Magnoliopsida; Fabales; Fabaceae. The transcript has 3 exons. The record is from RefSeq and is a predicted model, not a curated record.
GGAUGGCAUUAAAAAUAAAAAUAGAAAUAAAGAGGGCUGCUGUUAGCAGGGGAGGGGGAGAGCGUUUUCGAGAAACAAGAGAGAAGACCAGAGGGAGCGAAACUCACCCAACCUCGUUCUUCUUCUUCAAUUAUUUUUCUCUCCUUUUCUCUUUAGAACCAAAAACCCUUUUUAUGCCAGUUCUUCUUCUUCUUCAUUUUUGUUUUUCCUCUUUUUCGGACCAAACCCUAGAACCGUGAGCAAUGAGGAUUGGAGGCUGCCAAGGGUAGAUUUAUUGUACGAAUUGGUGAGUUGAGAGAUAGCCGUGAGGACUUCGUAUCAAGUUCAAAUACAACACCAUAGCAGUUGUUACUGCACCGCUGUCUCCAGCCACCAUCGUGGAGCAUCCAUCACCAGCCACCACUGUGACGCCAUAAAACCAAUGCCAUCCAGGUUGGUCCUCCGUUUCCUUUCCUCACAAGUAAUCAUUAAAAGAACAAAACUAGACAGCUCCAUAAGGAAUAAAACGCCCUAAGUAUCUGUUUGUAAUCUUGUAUAUAAUUCAGUAAGAGACAAACGAAAAACCACCAAACAAACAAAACACAUUGUGCUUUGUUACACUUAAUUUUGCUUGGCAACCAAUUUGAUUUGCUUCCAGAAGAAUUGCUCCACAAUGCACGUCCAGUUUUCUCUCACAAAUUUCUUAUCAAAGUGACCUUAUUACGGAUAUGCUGAUUUGCAGGUUUAAUGCACAUGGGCGGGUAGUAAUGUGAGUUCUGAUUUUGGAUUCAGUUCUCGAUUAGGCACAUCUUUCUUGUCAAGAAAACCAUGCAAGGAUUAACAACUUUUCUGGGUAUGACUUAUUCUCUUGCAUAUACAUUGAAGAGUCCACUUUGGCCAUUAUGUCCUCUCUGUAGAAAAUAAACGUGAUACACACUAUGAUAGGACUUUUCAAUUCACUGUGGUAAUUUUUAUUGAAUCUUGAUAACCUUUAAAUAAGUGCAAAUAGGACUUUGGGCCAAGUACAAAGAAUAAAAACUAAAAACAAAAUAUAACUGACUCAAACUAAAAACAACUACUUAAUUUAUCUCUAUCUUAUAUCAACUAAAUAAAAUAAUAAUGUACCUAAAUAAAUGAAAAAUCAAAACUACCAAUCCCUAUUUUAUCUUUAUCAAAAUCAAACUAAAUAUUACUAGACCAAACUAAUAAAAUAAGACUCAAACAAAAUUACUAAUAAACCCUUAAAAUAUAAGUUUAGCCAACAAAACUCCCUUGUAAACUUAAAUUUUCCAUCCUUCAUCUUUGCACCUUGGUUUUCCAGGUGCAUCAUCCCACAUCAGGUUUGCUUCUUCGAUUAAGAAAUUGGAUUCUUCAUUUUUUUUCUUGUUGGCAGUGUUGUCUUUCACCUUAACUGAAGUCUUUAAUGUUUUGACGAUCUGGUUCUUUAGGUGACUUCUCAACCAUCUUGACCGACCUUUCAGCAACAUUGCUUGACUUCUUCACCUUGUUCGAAAUUUUACUCAUAAGAUUUUUUGCUUUCUCAGCAUAUGAGAUUCUCAUACCUGGAUUCUUUUCAACAUCUUCAUCUUCUUUCCCGUUUUUGUUUGGUUCAAGAACACUAGAUGCUUCAUCCUCUUUGUCUUUCACCGCCUUCAUCUCUUCAAGCUCAACCCUCUGUGUAUUCAUAAUCUCAUUAGCUUCAUCCAAAAGCCUCCCCAUCUGCUGAAUGUCUUCAUCUUUUCGUUUGAGUUUCUUGUCCAAGUUUUUCUUCUCUAUGUUUGUCGCACCAUUUACCAAGCUCACUUCAUCCAUUGUUGGGAAUGAGCUCUCCUCCAUUUCCGAGCACUUCAUUAGCAUUGCUAAGUUCUUUAACAACUUGGCGCUUAAUCGAUCGACCUUCACCUCUUGGCUCUUGACAACCCGGUUUUCUAUUUCUCGGCUCUAAAUACCUAGUCUCCUGCUGUUCGACCUCAAACAACUCAGUCUGAAUUUACUCGGCAUCAAGGUUCUUGGUCUCCUGUUGCACUACUCAGAGUUUUCAGAAAACAACAAAAUCCCCAUUACUUCUUCAUCUUCUUCUGAAAGAAGGUUUCUCUCACUUUUCUUCUCAAUUCAAUAUAAUUUAGCAAUGUGAUCGGGCUUACCAUAGUUGUAGCACUUCCUCGAUCUACACUUGUUUGCAUAGUGGUCAUGCUUGCCACACUUAAAAGACUCCACUUCUAAUUGAUCUCCUUGGCUUUUCCCCUGUCCUCGACCGUGUUAACACAUUAGCAAGUGUACCAAAUCGUAUCAAGUAAUAUAAAAUUAGUAAAACCAAGUAUCGUUUUCCAAGAGACUCAUGUUUACUUCACAAUUGUGUAAUACCUUAAUUAAUCAAGACUUAAAAAAUAUUUUGUUGGUGUUUAUAUGCAAAUGCAACAAAAGUAAAUAUGAAUGCAAAUUGAUCAAUUGAGGCUUAACACAAGAAUGAAUGGAUGAAGUUGAUAAUAUGAGAUGAUGAUGUUGUUGGGGUUAGAUUUCACCUACUUCACUUUCAUGCAUAUUAGAAUUCAUCUUCUUUAUUGGAAUGUUAAUGUCACUUUCUGAAUUACUUAGAAUCCGAUGUCUCGGCGUAAAAAGCCUAGUCUUGAUUAUUAGAUAACAAUCCCUUGAAAACUCUAACAAAUCAAUUCUGCAUUAAGAAAAGAAGCUUAAGACAACCAAACGUCCUAUCCCUAUCUCUAGGCAAUAUUCCAUUUGGAUGAAAUCCUCUAGAUCAUGAUUCAUAAGAUAUUUCUCAAUACUCAAAUAAAUCAAACAUCAUGAGUGACCAAAACAGAACAAGCAUUAAGAACAAGAGAAAAUCACCAACAUUCAAUGAAAGAAGCAUAAAAUGUUUAAACCAUAUUAAAAUACAUGAAAGUUUAGAGGUUACAUCAUCCCCAACAACAAAUAAGUUUAGUUCUCCAUUGUCAUGGAGAACCUUGGCUUACAAUGGAAGAAUGAAUGAAUGAAAACCUUAGAAAGUGAGAAGGAAAGCUCCAGCAUGCCCAAUCUCCCUCUAAAGGGUCGAAAUUAGCUUUUCUGUGCUUCAGCCGUCCAAAGAUGUGAACCCUAGAGUAUAGAAACCCUUAAAUAGAACCAAAUUGGAUGAUGGGCCAAUGUUGCUGGCACUCAGCGCCCCAACUAAGGGCGCCCAAGUGUGACUGCAAAGAGACUGGCCGUCAGCGUCCUGACUAAGGGCUUCCUGGCGUCCUACGGUGUGACUUGUUGGCGCUCAGCGCCCCUAGAGGGGCGCCCAAGCGUGACUGCGAGGAUAGUGGCGCUCAACGCUCCAAAUGGGGGCAGCCAGGUACCCUUGCGAGACUUGUGACGCUGAGGGCCCCUAAAAAGGGCAACCAGGUGUCGUACGGUCCUUCUUCAACCUUCUUCCAGCCUUCUUUCCCAAUGCUUAUGUUGUCCCUCCUGGGUUCCAACUCCUUGAUACUUUUGCUCCUCUUCCAAUCAUACCAAUAACCUACAAAAUUGAGGGAAUUAGUGAUCAAAUUCAUAAAAUAUAACCUCUCUUCACUUAUUCACCAAAUUCAACUAAAACAAGCUUCCUUUGUUGAUGCAACAUUCGCUAUUUUUUUGAAUCUCGACUCAUCUCCUGUGUUGUAGAGAAAAUACAAUGCUAACCCAUCUCUUGCACGUAUUUUCUUCAACACUGUCAUCUAUCCCUCGUCUGAUGUUCAUCCUCAUCGGGUUCAUUGUACAUGUCUUCCACCAUAUUCCAAAUGUCUUGUGAUCUCAGCAACACCUUCAUCUGUAGGCACCAAUUAUCAUAAUUGGUCUUUUUUGUCAGUUGUGACACACUCAUUUCAUUGACAACGUUUGUCAUCUUCCUCACAAAACACUCAAGUACUCACUAUUUCCCUCACGAUGUUUGACUCUCCUCUCUCUUUUUUUCCCUUCUCGGUACUUUGAGCAUAAAGCUCUAAUACCACUUUGUAGAAAAUAAACAUGACACCCUUCAAUUCACUGUGAUAAUUAUCAUUGAACCUUACAACUUUAAAAUAGGUGCAAAUAGGGUCUUAGGUCAAGUAUAAAAAAUAAAAACUAAAAACUAAUAACAAAAGACUCAAAAUAAAAACAACUACUUAAUCUAUCUCUAUCUUAUAUAAGCCAAAUUAAAUGACUCAAAAUAAAAACAACUACUUAAUCUAUAUCUAUCUUAUAUCAACCAAAUAAAAUAAUACUGCAUCUUUAUUUAGAUGGAAAAUCAAAAAUAUCAAUUCUUAUUUUAUCUUUAUCAAAAUCAAACUAAAUAUUACUAUAUCCAAACUAAUAAAAUAAGACUCAAACAAAAUUACUAAUAAACUCCUAAAAUUUAAGUUUAACCCAACAUUCUUUGGUAACUAUGACCUCCUCUUGCACGAGGUAUUACUAUUGUUGAAGUUUCAAUCACUAAAGCUAAAUUUUCAUCUUUAACCUUGGUAGGCACACAAAGAAGUCUAGUGACUAGCCGUUCAUUCAAGGAACUUGAUCACCAACUAGAAUAUGGUCACAUACAUAAUUAAAAUUUAAAUGCAAACUUCUUAGAACCAGGGUGUUUUUG